Salmo salar (Atlantic salmon) is the source of this 54-nucleotide non-coding RNA. NCBI's taxonomy places the organism in Eukaryota, Metazoa, Chordata, Actinopteri, Salmoniformes, Salmonidae. The record is from Rfam.
UGCACUCACUACUGUAAGUCGCUCUAGAUAAGAGCGUCUGCUAAAUGACUAAAA